Molecule: ribosomal RNA, 490 nt
Filed under: uncultured bacterium
Lineage: Bacteria
Description: bacterial SSU rRNA
Rfam family: Bacterial small subunit ribosomal RNA
Source: RNAcentral
GGCUCAGGAUGAACGCUAGCGGCAGGGCUUAACACAUGCAAGUCGAGGGGUAGAGGAAGCUUUGCUUCCUUGAGACCGGCGCACGGGUGCGUAACGCGUAUGCAACCUACCUUUUACAGAGGGAUAGCCCAGAGAAAUUUUGGAUUAAUACCUCAUGGUAUAUAUCAUUCGCAUGUUUGAUAUAUUAAAGUUCCAACGGUAAAAGAUGGGCAUGCGUCCUAUUAGCUAGAUGGUAAGGUAACGGCUUACCAUGGCAACGAUAGGUAGGGGUCCUGAGAGGGAGAUCCCCCACACUGGUACUGAGACACGGACCAGACUCCUACGGGAGGCAGCAGUGAGGAAUAUUGGACAAUGGGCGCAAGCCUGAUCCAGCCAUGCCGCGUGCAGGAAGAAGCAUCUAUGGUGUGUAAACUGCUUUUGUACGGGAAGAAACACUCCUUCGUGAAGGAGCUUGACGGUACCGUAAGAAUAAGGAUCGGCUAACUCCGUG